UACAGAGGGUGCAAGCGUUAUCCGGAAUUACUGGGCGUAAAGCGUGCGUAGACGGUUAUUUAAGUCAGGUGUGAAAGCCCCGGGCUCAACCUGGGAAUUGCAUUUGAGACUGAAUAGCUAGGGUGCGGAAGAGGGAAGCGGAAUUUCCGGUGUAGCGGUGAAAUGCGUAGAUAUCGGAAGGAACACCAGUGGCGAAAGCGGCUUCCUGGUCCAGCACCGACGUUCAGGCACGAAAGCGUGGGGAGCAAACAGG
RNAcentral lists this ribosomal RNA (253 nucleotides) under uncultured bacterium. Its description in RNAcentral is "partial 16S ribosomal RNA". It matches the Rfam family "Bacterial small subunit ribosomal RNA", at positions 524 to 776 of the family's 1533-position model. The record is from RNAcentral.